Molecule: ribosomal RNA, 429 nt
Filed under: Chloroflexota bacterium
Lineage: Bacteria; Bacillati; Chloroflexota
Description: Chloroflexi bacterium partial 16S ribosomal RNA
Rfam family: Bacterial small subunit ribosomal RNA
Source: RNAcentral
UGGGGAAUAUUGCACAAUGGGCGCAAGCCUGAUGCAGCCAUGCCGCGUGUGUGAAGAAGGCCUUCGGGUUGUAAAGCACUCUCAGCGGGGAGGAAGGCGUUAAGGUUAAUAACCUUGGCGAUUGACGUUACCCGCAGAAGAAGCACCGGCUAACUCCGUGCCAGCAGCCGCGGUAAUACGGAGGGUGCAAGCGUUAAUCGGAAUUACUGGGCGUAAAGCGCACGCAGGCGGUCUGUCAAGUCGGAUGUGAAAUCCCCGGGCUCAACCUGGGAACUGCAUUCGAAACUGGCAGGCUAGAGUCUUGUAGAGGGGGGUAGAAUUCCAGGUGUAGCGGUGAAAUGCGUAGAGAUCUGGAGGAAUACCGGUGGCGAAGGCGGCCCCCUGGACAAAGACUGACGCUCAGGUGCGAAAGCGUGGGGAGCAAACAGG